Molecule: ribosomal RNA, 484 nt
Filed under: uncultured bacterium
Lineage: Bacteria
Description: partial 16S ribosomal RNA
Rfam family: Bacterial small subunit ribosomal RNA
Source: RNAcentral
GACGAACGCUGGCGGCGUGCUUAACACAUGCAAGUCGAACGAUGAAGCCGGAGCUUGCUCUGGUGAAUUAGUGGCGAACGGGUGAGUAACACGUGAGUAACCUGCCCUUGACUCUGGGAUAACUGCGGGAAACUGUAGCUAAUACCGGAUACGACCCUCGGAGGCAUCUCCUGGGGGUGGAAAGAAUUUCGGUCAAGGAUGGACUCGCGGCCUAUCAGCUAGUUGGUGAGGGAAAGGCUCACCAAGGCGACGACGGGUAGCCGGCCUGAGAGGGUGACCGGCCACACUGGGACUGAGACACGGCCCAGACUCCUACGGGAGGCAGCAGUGGGGAAUAUUGCACAAUGGGCGCAAGCCUGAUGCAGCAACGCCGCGUGAGGGAUGACGGCCUUCGGGUUGUAAACCUCUUUUAGCAGGGAGGAAGCGAAAGUGACGGUACCUGCAGAAAAAGCACCGGCUAACUACGUGCCAGCAGCCGCGGUAA